RNAcentral lists this ribosomal RNA (434 nucleotides) under uncultured bacterium. RNAcentral describes it as "partial 16S ribosomal RNA". It matches the Rfam family "Bacterial small subunit ribosomal RNA", at positions 29 to 507 of the family's 1533-position model. The record is from RNAcentral.
AGCGAACGCUGGCGGCAGGCCUAACACAUGCAAGUCGAACGAACCUUUCGGGGUUAGUGGCGGACGGGUGAGUAACACGUGGGAACGUGCCUUUAGGUUCGGAAUAACUCAGGGAAACUUGUGCUAAUACCGAAUGUGCCCUUCGGGGGAAAGAUUUAUCGCCUUUAGAGCGGCCCGCGUCUGAUUAGCUAGUUGGUUGAGGUAAUGGCUCACCAAGGCGACGAUCAGUAGCUGGUCUGAGAGGAUGAUCAGCCACAUUGGGACUGAGACACGGCCCAAACUCCUACGGGAGGCAGCAGUGGAGAGUCUUGCGCAAUGAGCGAAAGCCUGACGCAGCCAUGCCGCGUGAAUGAUGAAUGUCUUAGGAUUGUAAAAUUCUUUCACCGGGGACGAUAAUGACGGUACCCGGAGAAGAAGCCCCGGCUAACUUCGUG